RNAcentral lists this ribosomal RNA (695 nucleotides) under Alessioporus rubriflavus. RNAcentral's name for it is "eukaryotic LSU rRNA". It matches the Rfam family "Eukaryotic large subunit ribosomal RNA", at positions 56 to 754 of the family's 3401-position model. The record is from RNAcentral. Lineage: Eukaryota; Fungi; Basidiomycota; Agaricomycetes; Boletales; Boletaceae.
GAAAAGAAACUAACAAGGAUUCCCCUAGUAACUGCGAGUGAAGCGGGAAGAGCUCAAAUUUUGAAUCUGGCGGUCUUUGCCCGUCCGAGUUGUAAUCUAGAGAAGCGUUUUCCGCGCUGGACCGUGUACAAGUCUCCUGGAAGGGAGCGUCAUAGAGGGUGAGAAUCCCGUCUCUGACACGGACUACCAGGGCUAUGUGAUGCGCUCUCGACGAGUCGAGUUGUUUGGGAAUGCAGCUCAAAAUGGGUGGUAAAUUCCAUCUAAAGCUAAAUACAGGCGAGAGACCGAUAGCGAACAAGUACCGUGAGGGAAAGAUGAAAAGAACUUUGGAAAGAGAGUUAAACAGUACGUGAAAUUGCUGAAAGGGAAACGCUUGAUGUCAGUCGCGUCGGCCAGGGAUCAACCUUGCUUCUCGCUCGGUGUACUUCCUGGUCGACGGGUCAGCAUCAGUUUCGAUCGCCGUACAAUGGCGGAGGGAAUGUGGCACUCUUCGGGGUGUGUUAUAGCCUUUCGUCGUAUGCUGUGGUCGGGACUGAGGAACUCGGCACGACUUUCGUUUGUGUCUAGGAUGCUGGCAUAAUGGCCUUAAGCGACCCGUCUUGAAACACGGACCAAGGAGUCUAACAUGCCUGCGAGUGUUUGGGUGCUAAACUCGAGCGCGCAAUGAAAGUGAAAGUCGAGACCUCUGUCGUGGA